UACGAAGGGGGCUAGCGUUGUUCGGAAUCACUGGGCGUAAAGGGCGCGUAGGCGGCUUUGUAAGUCGGGGGUGAAAGCCUGUGGCUCAACCACAGAAUUGCCUUCGAUACUGCAUGGCUUGAGACCGGAAGAGGUAAGUGGAACUGCGAGUGUAGAGGUGAAAUUCGUAGAUAUUCGCAAGAACACCAGUGGCGAAGGCGGCUUACUGGUCCGGUUCUGACGCUGAGGCGCGAAAGCGUGGGGAGCAAACAGGAUUAGAUACCCCCGUAGUCC
Molecule: ribosomal RNA, 273 nt
Filed under: uncultured bacterium
Lineage: Bacteria
Description: partial 16S ribosomal RNA
Rfam family: Bacterial small subunit ribosomal RNA
Source: RNAcentral